RNAcentral lists this ribosomal RNA (461 nucleotides) under uncultured bacterium. RNAcentral describes it as "partial 16S ribosomal RNA". It matches the Rfam family "Bacterial small subunit ribosomal RNA", at positions 338 to 795 of the family's 1533-position model. The record is from RNAcentral.
CCUACGGGUGGCAGCAGUGAGGAAUAUUGGUCAAUGGGCGCGAGCCUGAACCAGCCAAGUCGCGUGAGGGAUGACGGUCCUACGGAUUGUAAACCUCUUUUGCCGGGGAGCAAGCGUGCGUUCGUGAACGCGCGUCGAGAGUACUCGGAGAAAAAGCAUCGGCUAACUCCGUGCCAGCAGCCGCGGUAAUACGGAGGGUGCGAGCGUUGAUCGGAAUCACUGGGCGUAAAGCGCGCGGAGGCGGCUUUUCAAGGCAGGGGGGAAAUCCCACGGCCCAACCGUGGAACAGCCUUUGAAACUGGCGAGCUGGAGUGGCAGAGAGGGUGGCGGAAUGCCAGGUGUAGGAGUGAAAUCCGUAGAUAUCUGGAGGAACACCGGUGGCGAAGGCGGCCACCUGGACGACAACUGACGCUGAGGUACGAAAGCGUGGGUAGCGAACAGGAUUAGAUACCCCAGUAGUC